CAAUAGCGUAUAUUAAAGUUGUUGCAGUUAAAAAGCUCGUAGUUGGAUUUCUGGCGGGAGCGACCGGUCGGCGCUUAACGGCGUGUGCACUGGAGUUGUCUCUUGCCAUCCUUGAGGAGAACGUGUCUGGCAUUAAGUUGUCGGGCUUGGGAUCCUCAUCGUUUACUGUGAAAAAAUUAGAGUGUUUAAAGCAGGCAUUUGCUGUGAAUACAUUAGCAUGGAAUAAUAAGAUAGGACUUUGGUGCUAUUUUGUUGGUUUGCGUACCAAGGUAAUGAUUAAUAGGGAUAGUUGGGGGUAUUCGUAUUCAAUUGUCAGAGGUGAAAUUCUUGGAUUUAUGGAAGACGAACAACUGCGAAAGCAUUUACCAAGGAUGUUUUCAUUAA
RNAcentral lists this ribosomal RNA (384 nucleotides) under uncultured eukaryote. Its description in RNAcentral is "partial 18S ribosomal RNA". It matches the Rfam family "Eukaryotic small subunit ribosomal RNA", at positions 592 to 976 of the family's 1831-position model. The record is from RNAcentral.